UUAACACAUGCAAGUCGAACGGGGUUUAGCGAGAAGUUUACUUUUUGUUAAACCUAGUGGCGGACGGGUGAGUAACGCGUGGAUAACCUACCCCCUAGUCUGGGAUAACGCCGGGAAACCGGUGCUAAUACCGGAUAAGUUCAUCUGUCUGCAUAGACAGAUGAAGAAAGGUGCAAACCGCUACAGGAUGGGUCCGCGUCCCAUUAGCUAGUUGGUAGGGUAACAGCCUACCAAGGCAACGAUGGGUAGCCGGCCUGAGAGGGCGACCGACCACACUGGAACUGAGACACGGUCCAGACUCCUACGGGAGGCAGCAGUGGGGAAUCUUCCGCAAUGGGCGCAAGCCUGACGGAGCAACGCCGCGUGAGUGAAGAAGGUUUUCGGAUUGUAAAACUCUGUCCGCAGGGAAGAAACAAAUGACGGUACCUGUGGAGGAAGCCCCGGCUAACUACGUGCCAGCAGCCGCGGUAAAACGUAGGGGGCAAGCGUUGUCCGGAAUUACUGGGCGUAAAGGGCGUGUAGGCGGCCCUGCAAGUCAGUCGUGAAAUCCAUCGGCUCAACUGAUGGCUGUCGAUUGAAACUGUAGAGCUUGAGUACAGUAGAGGGGAGUGGAAUUCCCAGUGUAGCGGUGAAAUGCGUAGAUAUUGGGAGGAACACCAGUGGCGAAAGCGGCUCCCUGGCCUGUAACUGACGCUGANGCGCGAAAGCGUGGGUAGCAAACAGGAUUAGAUACCCUGG
This 738-nucleotide ribosomal RNA is filed under the name uncultured bacterium. Its description in RNAcentral is "bacterial SSU rRNA". It matches the Rfam family "Bacterial small subunit ribosomal RNA", at positions 48 to 790 of the family's 1533-position model. The record is from RNAcentral.